GACGAACGCUGGCGGCGUGCUUAACACAUGCAAGUCGAACGGAAAGGCCCUGCUUUUGUGAGGUGCUCGAGUGGCGAACGGGUGAGUAACACGUGAGUAACCUGCCCUUGACUUUGGGAUAACUUCAGGAAACUGGGGCUAAUAUCGGAUAGGAGCUCCUGCUGCAUGGUGGGGGUUGGAAAGUUUCGGCGGUUGGGGAUGGACUCGCGGCUUAUCAGCUUGUUGGUGGGGUAGUGGCUUACCAAGGCUUUGACGGGUAGCCGGCCUGAGAGGGUGACCGGCCACAUUGGGACUGAGAUACGGCCCAGACUCCUACGGGAGGCAGCAGUGGGGAAUAUUGCACAAUGGGCGGAAGCCUGAUGCAGCAACGCCGCGUGCGGGAUGACGGCCUUCGGGUUGUAAACCGCUUUCGCCUGUGACGAAGCGUGAGUGACGGUAAUGGGUAAAGAAGCACCGGCUAACUACGUG
Molecule: ribosomal RNA, 468 nt
Filed under: uncultured bacterium
Lineage: Bacteria
Description: partial 16S ribosomal RNA
Rfam family: Bacterial small subunit ribosomal RNA
Source: RNAcentral